GACUAGCUGGUCUAAUGGGAAGGCGCUCCACUCGAAUCGCAAGGUUAGCCCUUUUGGGCAUUUUGGAGAGAUGCGGGUUCAAAUCCCGCCAUAGUCG
This is a non-coding RNA of Auriculariales sp. MPI-PUGE-AT-0066, 97 nucleotides long. Lineage: Eukaryota; Fungi; Basidiomycota; Agaricomycetes; Auriculariales. The record is from the annotation of a GenBank genome assembly.